Non-coding RNA from Cinara cedri, 1200 nucleotides. NCBI's taxonomy places the organism in Eukaryota, Metazoa, Arthropoda, Insecta, Hemiptera, Aphididae. The record is from the annotation of a GenBank genome assembly.
UAUACAAUAUACUAUAAUAUUAAACGAAACGUAUACAGUUCGAUAUUUUAUUAUAUUUAGCGUCCGGACGAAGGAAAAAAAAAUGAACAUCUGCAGACAAUGUGGUGUUGGUUUUGGCGGGAAUCCGACACUGUUACUGAACUCGACGGAUACCCAAUGUUGUUCCGUACGCGUUUCUAUUACCCACGUGUGUGUACGUGUAUAUAAUAAAUGAGACGUACAAAUCGUUGUAUAUAAUACUUACACGGCUUUAAACGUUGUUUGUUUUACGCCAUUCCGGAUACUGAUAAAUGAGAAGGGACAUUUUUCUCAUGUAAGAACAAUAAUUGUUCUUAUGCGUAUUAGAUACAUUUAUUGUAAUACCUAUACCCAAUAUUGAAAUUGGUCAAAAUGUGUUAAAAAUGGAUUUUAAAAACAAACGACAUACUUCGCACACGAUGGAUGGGCCACUGUUGUUGGCAGUGUUGAAUCCAGGUAUAUGUCAGAGGGGGAGCAACAACCCAAAAUAGGUAAGUAAAAAAAAAAAAAAAAAAGGGUAUUACUAUAAUUUUAGUAAUGCACCCUUUUGAAAAAUCGUCUGAAUUCAACACUGGUUGUAGGUGACAAGUUGGGAAGUUAGAGUGGAAAUGUAAUGUUUAUCUGUCUGCAACGAUUAAAUUUUGCUAACGAAAAACGAUUCUGAGCAGAGUUCGGUUGUAUAUGUUUUGAAAGACCGUAAUAUUUACGAUUUGAAAAUAAUAAAUUUCGUAAAUUAUACAGUUUUCACAUUCAUUAUGAAAAUCCUUGAGAAAAUAAAAAAAAUGACCUCCUAAAGUUCCCAAUCAGAUAUUUUCUUUUAGAAAAAGUACUACUUUCGAAAAUCGGAUCAAAAUUUCUGGUAUAGAAGGUGUUUACAGAUCAAAAAAAAUAAAAUAAAUAAAUAUCAUUGUAAAACCAUACGUUCUUCGCUCCGCUCAGAAUCUAAAAUCCAAAUUCUAGAUUUUAUUUAAAAUUAAUAUUAAAAAUCCAAUUUUUCAAAAUGUAUAUAGACAGUUAACUAAUUAAGUGAUACGAUUAAAAAUCGUAGCUUCAGUAAAUAAUAUUUGAUACGGACUAUAAUUUUAAAAUAUUAAAAAAUUAGUAAAGAAUAUGUACACAUCUAAUAACAUUAGUCAAUUAUCUGUAAAUAAUAAAUUAUUAUUAAUCAUCAUAGUUAUUAUG